GUUGCCGGUCAUAGGGUGGUGGGAAACACCCGGUCCCAUUCCGAACCCGGAAGUUAAGCCCCACCCGCCCGGCGAGUAGUGCUUUGCGGGAGCGGGCGCGAAAGCCGGGUGCUGGCAACC
Molecule: ribosomal RNA, 120 nt
Filed under: Nitrososphaeria archaeon
Lineage: Archaea; Thermoproteati; Nitrososphaerota; Nitrososphaeria
Also listed under: 1 other name
Source: RNAcentral